CGUAUCCAACCUGCCCACCACUUGGGGAUAACCUUGCGAAAGUAAGACUAAUACCCAAUGACGUCUCUAGAAGACAUCUGAAGGAGAUUAAAGAUUUAUCGGUGAUGGAUGGGGAUGCGUCUGAUUAGCUUGUUGGCGGGGUAACGGCCCACCAAGGCUACGAUCAGUAGGGGUUCUGAGAGGAAGGUCCCCCACAUUGGAACUGAGACACGGUCCAAACUCCUACGGGAGGCAGCAGUGAGGAAAUAUUGGUCAAUGGACGAGAGUCUGAACCAGCCAAGUAGCGUGCAGGAUGACGGCCCUAUGGGUUGUAAACUGCUUUUAUAAGGGAAUAAAGUGAGUCUCGUGAGACUUUUUGCAUGUACCUUAUGAAUAAGGACCCGGCUAAAUUCCGUGCCAGCAGCCGCGGUAAUACGGAAGGUCCGGGCGUUAUCCGGAUUUAUUGGGUUUAAAGGGAGCGUAGGCCGGAGAUUAAGCGUGUUGUGAAAUGUAGAUGCUCAACAUCUGAACUGCAGCGCGAACUGGUUUCCUUGAGUACGCACAAAGUGGGCGGAAUUCGUGGUGUAGCGGUGAAAUGCUUAGAUAUCACGAAGAACUCCGAUUGCGAAGGCAGCUCACUGGAGCGCAACUGACGCUGAAGCUCGAAAGUGCGGGUAUCGAACAGGAU
RNAcentral lists this ribosomal RNA (667 nucleotides) under uncultured bacterium. RNAcentral describes it as "bacterial SSU rRNA". It matches the Rfam family "Bacterial small subunit ribosomal RNA", at positions 116 to 778 of the family's 1533-position model. The record is from RNAcentral.